AUUGAACGCUGGCGGCAGGCCUAACACAUGCAAGUCGAGCGAGCGGCGGACGGGUGAGUAAUGUAUGGGGAUCUGCCCGAUAGAGGGGGAUAACUACUGGAAAAGGUGGCUAAUUCCGCAUACUAUCGGAUGAAGCCACAUGGGAUUAUCUAGUAGGUGGGGUAAAGGCUCACCUAGGCGACGAUCUCUAGCUUGUCUGCGAGGAUGAGCAGCCACACUGGGACUGAUACACGGCCCAGACUCCGACGGGAGGCAGCGGUGUGGAAUAUUGCGCAAUGGGGGCAAGCCUGAUGCAGCCAUGCCGCGUGUAUGAAGAAGGCUUUAGGGUUGUAAAGUACUUUCAGUGGAUAGGCGUUACCCGCAGAAGAAGCACCGGCUAACUCCGUGCCAGCCGCCGCGGUAAUUC
This 406-nucleotide ribosomal RNA is filed under the name uncultured bacterium. Its description in RNAcentral is "partial 16S ribosomal RNA". It matches the Rfam family "Bacterial small subunit ribosomal RNA", at positions 30 to 526 of the family's 1533-position model. The record is from RNAcentral.